CCACAUAGGCUAGAGAUUCUGGGAUGAGUUCUAGCUCAAAUGGUACGCGAAUUGGAGCGCAACCGCUCUGCGAUGAGACUGCGUCGGAUCAGGCAGUUGGCGGGGUAACGGCCCACCAAACCUAUUACCCGUAGGGGAUAUGAGAGUAAGAGCCCCGAGAAGGGCACUGAGACAAUGGCCCUAGCGCUACGGCGUGCAGCAGGCGCGCAAACUCCACAAUGCGCAUACGCGUGAUGGGGGGAGUCUGAGUGAUUCACUUCGGUGAAUCUUUUGACAAGUUUAGCAAGCUUGUAGAAUAAGUGCUGGGUAAGACCGGUGGCAGCCGCCACGGUAAUACCGGCGGCACAAGUGGUGUUCACUAUUAUUGGGCUUAAAGAGACCGUAGCCGGCUAAAACCGUCUUAUGUGAAAUGUUAAGGCAUAACUUUAACGAGUGCAUAAGAUACCUUUUGGCUAGGGAGCGGGAGAGGUCAGGAGUAUUCAUGGGGUAAGGGUAAAAUCUUAUAAUCCUACGAAGACUACCGGUGGCGAAGGCGCCUGACCAGAACGCAUCCGGCGGUGAGUGUCGAAGGCUAGGAGAACGAAUCGGAUUAGAUACCCGAGUAGCCCUAGCAGUAAAUUAUGCAGACUCUGGUGUUGCGUCUAUCACGAAUAGACGCAGU
This 661-nucleotide ribosomal RNA is filed under the name uncultured euryarchaeote. Its description in RNAcentral is "bacterial SSU rRNA". It matches the Rfam family "Archaeal small subunit ribosomal RNA", at positions 152 to 799 of the family's 1478-position model. Lineage: Archaea; Methanobacteriati; Methanobacteriota. The record is from RNAcentral.